AAGUUAUUUUGUAUGUUGGUGACAAACUUCCUGUGCUGCAUUUUGUGGCUAUUGCCCCUUGUCCUGUCCCCACAAACCACUGGAAAGAGGCUGGCCAUAUCCCUUUGUUUCCCACAACUCAGGUAGGUAUAAACAUUGAUAAGAUCCCCCCUCAGUCUUCUUUUCUCAAGGCUGAACAGACCCAGGUCUCUCAGUCUU
Oxyura jamaicensis (ruddy duck) is the source of this 198-nucleotide long non-coding RNA. RefSeq lists it as uncharacterized. The transcript has 4 exons. The record is from RefSeq and is a predicted model, not a curated record. Lineage: Eukaryota; Metazoa; Chordata; Aves; Anseriformes; Anatidae.